This 70-nucleotide transfer RNA is filed under the name Lepidodactylus lugubris. RNAcentral's name for it is "tRNA-Thr". The record is from RNAcentral. Lineage: Eukaryota; Metazoa; Chordata; Lepidosauria; Squamata; Gekkonidae.
GCCCCUGUAGCUUACCAACCUAAAGCACUGGCCUUGUAAACCAAAGACGGGAACACACUCCCCUCGGGCA